GACGAACGCUGGCGGCGUGCUUAACACAUGCAAGUCGAACGGAAAGGCCCUGCUUUUGUGGGGUGCUCGAGUGGCGAACGGGUGAGUAACACGUGAGUAACCUGCCCUUGACUUUGGGAUAACUUCAGGAAACUGGGGCUAAUACCGGAUAGGAGCUCCUGCGGCAUGGUGGGGGUUGGAAAGCUUCGGCGGUUGGGGAUGGGCCCGCGGGUUAUCAGCUUGUUGGUGGGGUAGUGGAUUACCAAGGCUUGGACGGGUAGCCGGCCUGAGAGGGUGACCGGGCACCAUGGGACUGCGAUAGGGCCCAGACUCCUACGGGAGGCAGCGGUGGGGAAUAUUGCCCAAUGGGCGGACGCCUGAUGCAGCAACGCCGCGUGCGGGAUGACGGCCUUCGGGUUGUAAACCGCUUUCGCCUGUGACGAAGCGUGAGUGACGGUAAUGGGUAAAGAAGCACCGGCUAACUACGUG
RNAcentral lists this ribosomal RNA (468 nucleotides) under uncultured bacterium. Its description in RNAcentral is "partial 16S ribosomal RNA". It matches the Rfam family "Bacterial small subunit ribosomal RNA", at positions 28 to 507 of the family's 1533-position model. The record is from RNAcentral.